UCCGAGCUACUGAUUAUUAUAAAAAUGACUUUUUUACAAUUCAAGGCGCAUAAACAGCGCCACAAUUGCACAAAACUGCGAAUUUUCAGCCAAAAAUUGCAGUCGGGUACCAGCGUCAUAAAAUUUUGCAAAGCUAGUCUUAAGACGAUAAUUUCACUCGUAGCUUAUCGAAUAUUUCAUAAUAUGUACAUUCCAUGCAUUUUUAACGCUUCUAGCGAUAAGUUUAAAGCUAUUUGUGAGCCCUGGGACAUAAAACAGCUUAUCUAGCAGGAAGAGAAGUAAGCGGCAUUCAUUCUCGUCAUAAUGAAGAAGCAUCCAAACGUUCUCAUGGGUGCAGCAUUGGCGUGCUUAGAAUUGUGACCAUAAUAUGCAGUUCGAGCUGAGGAAUCCAUGCAAUUAGUGGAACGUUUAGAAGUUACAAAAAAUUGUAGGCAAGUCUUCGAAGGUGCUGAAAUUUCAGAAGGCGGUGCCUGUCGAAUUCUGGCGGACUCUGAGGACAAACUGAGGACAAUGCAGAGCACCCAAGAUCUCACACCCUAGAUUAUAUCUGAGAGAAAUUUAAGCCAGAAAAUCAAUGUCAACAAGUCAAGGACGUGGCCAGAAAAUGUGAUGAUGACGAUGCGGUGCGCCUCCCGCCGGUUGCGGCCGGCAACAUCUCGCGCCGCUUGGUAAACACAGCGCCAGGCAUCUCUGCGCCAGACCUGUAGAAAUGGAAAUUGAACGCAUGAACUCGUGUCAAAAAGCGAGAUUAUGUGUCCAACUGGUCACUGGCAAACGCCGGCAUGACCACAUAUCCAGCUGAUUUAGAACAGUUAUGGUGGUGCGACGCGCAACAGUUGUUUACUUUUCACAUGGUGUGGAAUGUGGAUGUUGGAACGUGUCCUUGUUAAUUACCAGUCCGAGAGCAUAUUUAUAACUCAGCACCUUAGCAGCUAAAGCCAGGCAGCAACAUGACCAUUAGGCCCGUCAGGCUCGCUAGUAUACCCUUCCUAUAAGACAAACCGAGUCCGCGGCAGAAUCAGGCUGCGCUACCACGGUGUCACGAUGUUCAGUGCAGAGUCAAUGUCCGAUGCCUGGUGUCCCUGGAUUUCGCUUGGCCGUCAACCAGAAGUCAAAACGGUAAAGCACAAUGGAACAUGGAGUGGGUGUGCAAAUGUAAACAGGAAGGGCAUUUGGGACAAAUUUCCGGCAUUUAGGGCAAAUGCCCGUAUACAGCGCCUAAAAUCGACGAUUUUUUCUAGAAUAGAAAUAAAUCGAAAAAAUUAUAUGAAAAAAAUAUUUGCUUUAGCUAGACAGCUGUGCGUAAGGAAUUCAAAUCAGAUUAGUUGGGCGUAUGCCCUCCACCGCUUCCGAGACUUUCUGGAUCCGCCUGUGGUUAUCGUCUUUAUUGGUAUUCGCGCAAUACUAGACGUGAAUAUGGUCGAAAACCCGACAUGUUAUGCGGAUCUCUUUCAAAUACACAAAAUGUCAACGAUUGUAAUGCAUGCUGCUGAAAGAUUUCUCGUGCUACUACUUUUUGUUCGAAAUAUAUAUCCCAAUGAAA
This is a long non-coding RNA of Amphibalanus amphitrite, 1543 nucleotides long. RefSeq lists it as uncharacterized. The record is from RefSeq and is a predicted model, not a curated record. The transcript is spliced from 2 exons. Lineage: Eukaryota; Metazoa; Arthropoda; Thecostraca; Balanomorpha; Balanidae.